AACCGUGGUAAUUCUAGAGCUAAUACAUGCUGAAAGCCCCAACUCCGGAAGGGGUGUAUUUAUUAGAUAAAAAACCAAUGCCCUUCGGGGCUCCUUGGUGAUUCAUAAUAACUCAACGAAUCGCAUGGCCUUGCGCUGGCGAUGGUUCAUUCAAAUUUCUGCCCUAUCAACUUUCGAUGGUAGGAUAGUGGCCUACCAUGGUCUCAACGGGUAACGGGGAAUUAGGGUUCUAUUCCGGAGAGGGAGCCUGAGAAGCGGCUACCACAUCCAAGGAAGGCAGCAGGCGCGCAAAUUACCCAAUCCCAAUACGGGGAGGUAGUGACAAUAAAUACUGAUACAGGGCUCUUUCGGGUCUUGUAAUUGGAAUGAGUACAAUCUAAAUCCCUUAACGAGGAACAAUUGGAGGGCAAGUCUGGUGCCAGCAGCCGCGGUAAUUCCAGCUCCAAUAGCGCAUAUUAAAGUUGUUGCAGUUAAAAAGCUCGUAGUUGAACCUUGGGCCUGGCUGAUCUGUCUUCCUAACCGUUGUACGGAUUCGGUCGGGCCUUUCCUUCUGGGGAAUCCUAUGCCCUUUAUUGGGUGUAGUGGGGAACCAGGACUUUUACCUUGAAAAAAUUAGAGUGUUCAAAGCAGGCCUUUGCUCGAAUACAUUAGCAUGGAAUAAUGAAAUAGGACAGUGGUUCUAUUUUGUUGGUUUCUAGGACCGCUGUAAUGAUUAAUAGGGAUAGUCGGGGGCGUCAGUAUUCAAUUGUCAGAGGUGAAAUUCUUGGAUUUAUUGAAGACUAACUAUUGCGAAAGCAUUCGCCAAGGAUGUUUUCAUUAAUCAGUGAACGAAAGUUAGGGGAUCGAAGACGAUCAGAUACCGUCGUAGUCUUAACCAUAAACUAUGCCGACUAGGGAUCGGACGGUGUUUUUUUAUAUGACCCGUUCGGCACCUUACGAGAAAUCAAAGUUUUUGGGCUCUGGGGGGAGUAUGGUCGCAAGGCUGAAACUUAAAGAAAUUGACGGAAGGGCACCACAAGGCGUAAACGUUGCAGUCACUCUGCGCCUGCUGAUGAACUCUGCAAUGAUUUCAUCGUGUUCGUCCGUCCGGGACGUGCAGUAUACCUAGAUUGUGGGGAUCCCUUGACGGUGACCUGCAGCUCACGGGAGAGUGAGUUCAGAGAUUAGAUAGGUAGAGAAGGUUCGCCUUUUAAGCUAUAAUCCAACCCAAGUCUUGGUUGACUUGGGCCCCUGUGGGAGCCUGCGGCUUAAUUUGACUCAACACGGGAAAGCUCACCAGGUCCAGACAUAAGAAGGAUUGACAGAUUGAGAGCUCUUUCUUGAUUUUAUGGGUGGUGGUAAAACGUCCUUGUGCCACACACAGCGACACGGGUCACCCACCGUUGAAAUAUAGCUAGUCCACCUCCCGUGGGCAACAUUCUUCCGUUGCUGAGAAUUGCACCUCUGGGUCAUUAUCAGCGGCCACACGUUCCGUUGAAGGUGUGGUUCACAGACUAGGCUAGAGUGGACUGAUGCUCGGUUGAAGAUAUAGUCGCGCCCUUUGCAGAGAUGCAUCUGUGUUUGCGGCAUGGCCGUUCUUAGUUGGUG
RNAcentral lists this ribosomal RNA (1587 nucleotides) under Verrucaria caerulea. Its description in RNAcentral is "SSU rRNA". It matches the Rfam family "Eukaryotic small subunit ribosomal RNA", at positions 145 to 1439 of the family's 1831-position model. Lineage: Eukaryota; Fungi; Ascomycota; Eurotiomycetes; Verrucariales; Verrucariaceae. The record is from RNAcentral.